AUUGAACGCUGGCGGCAGGCCUAACACAUGCAAGUCGAACGAGUGGCGGACGGGUGAGUAAUGUCUGGGAAACUGCCUGAUGGAGGGGGAUAACUACUGGAAACGGUAGCUAAUACCGCAUACCAUCGGAUGUGCCCAGAUGGGAUUAGCUAGUAGGUGGGGUAAAGGCUCACCUAGGCGACGAUCCCUAGCUGGUCUGAGAGGAUGACGCGCCCAACUGGAACUGGGACACGUGCCAGACGCCUCCGGUAGGCAGCAGUGGGGAAUAUUGCACAGUGGGCGCAAGCCUGAUGCAGCCAUGCCGCGUGUAUGAAGAAGGCCUUCGGGUUGUAAAGUACUUUCAGCGGGGAGGCGGUACCCGCAGAAGAAGCACCGGCUAACUCCGUGCCAGCAGCCGCGGUAAUAC
This 406-nucleotide ribosomal RNA is filed under the name uncultured bacterium. Its description in RNAcentral is "partial 16S ribosomal RNA". It matches the Rfam family "Bacterial small subunit ribosomal RNA", at positions 30 to 526 of the family's 1533-position model. The record is from RNAcentral.